ACACGACUCUCGGCAACGGAUAUCUCGGCUCUCGCAUCGAUGAAGAACGUAGCAAAAUGCGAUACCUGGUGUGAAUUGCAGAAUCCCGCGAACCAUCGAGUUUUUGAACGCAAGUUGCGCCCGAGGCCUUCUGGCUGAGGGCACGUCUGCCUGGGCGUCACGC
RNAcentral lists this ribosomal RNA (163 nucleotides) under Cenchrus purpureus (Napier grass). Its description in RNAcentral is "5.8S ribosomal RNA". It matches the Rfam family "5.8S ribosomal RNA". From Rfam's summary of the family: 5.8S ribosomal RNA (5.8S rRNA) is a component of the large subunit of the eukaryotic ribosome. The record is from RNAcentral. Lineage: Eukaryota; Viridiplantae; Streptophyta; Magnoliopsida; Poales; Poaceae.